GGGGCUAUGGGGUAGUUUGGCUAUCCUUUCCGGUUUGGGGCCGGAUGACCCCGGUUCAAAUCCGGGUAGCCCCA
RNAcentral lists this transfer RNA (74 nucleotides) under Nanobdellati archaeon. RNAcentral's name for it is "DPANN group archaeon (hydrothermal vent metagenome) tRNA-Pro". It matches the Rfam family "tRNA". Rfam says of the family: Transfer RNA (tRNA) molecules are approximately 80 nucleotides in length. Their secondary structure includes four short double-helical elements and three loops (D, anti-codon, and T loops). Lineage: Archaea; Nanobdellati. The record is from RNAcentral.